RNAcentral lists this transfer RNA (70 nucleotides) under Marmota monax (woodchuck). RNAcentral describes it as "tRNA.Ala". Lineage: Eukaryota; Metazoa; Chordata; Mammalia; Rodentia; Sciuridae. The record is from RNAcentral.
GGGUUGUGGCUCAGUGAUAGAGUACUUGCUUGGCAUGUGUGAAGCCCUGGGUUUGAUUCUCAGCACUCCA